UCACAGCUUCCAGGCAGCCCUUGAGGUCACUGAAGGCACCGCGAAAUGGACUGUUGAAUUUAUAAAGAAACAUGACUCAUGCCCAAAUCCUGAUCAUUACUUGCACCGUUUAGAUUCCGUCAACAAGGAUGUUAAUGCUUCCCUUCCUCCUAAGGAUGUUAAUGCUUACCUUCUUCCUAUUAACUAGGAACAGCACGACAGAACAUGCCCUUUGUUUAAGUGAAGCUAGCUAGUACGUACGUGGUACUGUGAAACAAACGCUUCAAAUUAAAGGUGCAUGUAAUUCCCAGGCCCUAAUAUAUAGUAUAGAGCACUUU
This 317-nucleotide long non-coding RNA is filed under the name Populus trichocarpa (black cottonwood). RNAcentral's name for it is "long non-coding RNA (PTRI_LNC001149)". Lineage: Eukaryota; Viridiplantae; Streptophyta; Magnoliopsida; Malpighiales; Salicaceae. The record is from RNAcentral.